CAGUUUCAUUAUUAGUCUUCGCACAUAAAAUAUCUCUGAGUCUAAAAUCAUGAACUCUGCAGUUUUCAGAAGCAGCUUCUCUGCAGCGGCCGCAGGAUGGAAAUGCUCGGCUUUCCUCUAACGACGAAUGAUGAGAAGUAUAAACUCCACCAGGUGGCCAGACAGCAUGCUGGACAGAGCAGACCGGCUGCAGAUAAAUCUUACAACUGACUGACCCAAAAGAGUGUCGACGCAGUUUUCAGGAACCUGAGAAAAACAAAGCCUCAGUGAAGUGAGAUGUAAAGGGGGUAUUAAACAAGCAAAUAUGAAAGUGUUUAAAGAAAAUGUGAAGUGGGAGUGUUUCUUUACUGCAGUUAUGGCAUUAGGAAAACUGA
This is a long non-coding RNA of Siniperca chuatsi (mandarin fish), 374 nucleotides long. RefSeq lists it as uncharacterized. The record is from RefSeq and is a predicted model, not a curated record. The transcript has 3 exons. NCBI's taxonomy places the organism in Eukaryota, Metazoa, Chordata, Actinopteri, Centrarchiformes, Sinipercidae.